This 505-nucleotide unclassified non-coding RNA is filed under the name uncultured Glomus. Its description in RNAcentral is "SSU rRNA". It matches the Rfam family "Eukaryotic small subunit ribosomal RNA", at positions 569 to 1075 of the family's 1831-position model. Lineage: Eukaryota; Fungi; Glomeromycota; Glomeromycetes; Glomerales; Glomeraceae. The record is from RNAcentral.
AGCAGCCGCGGUAAUUCCAGCUCCAAUAGCGUAUAUUAAAGUUGCUGCAGUUAAAAAGCUCGUAGUUGAAUUUCGGGACCAUCAUGUUGGUCGUGCCUCGGUACGUACUGGCAUUGUUGGUUUCUCCCUUCUGACGAACCAUGAUGUCAUUUAUUUGGUGUCGUGGGAAAUCAGGACUGUUACUUUGAAAAAAUUAGAGUGUUUAAAGCAGGCUCACGCUUGAAUACAUUAGCAUGGAAUAAUGAAAUAGGACGUUUGAUUCUAUUUUGUUGGUUUCUAGGAUCGACGUAAUGAUUAAUAGGGAUAGUUGGGGGCAUUAGUAUUCAAUUGUCAGAGGUGAAAUUCUUGGAUUUAUUGAAGACUAACUACUGCGAAAGCAUUUGCCAAGGAUGUUUUCAUUAAUCAAGAACGAAAGUUAGGGGAUCGAAGACGAUCAGAUACCGUCGUAGUCUUAACCAUAAACUAUGCCGACUAGGGAUCGGAUGAUGUUAAUUUUUUCAAUGAC